AUGAACGCUGGCGGCGUGCCUAACACAUGCAAGUCGAGCGAGAAUUUAUGGAAUGAACCUUCGGGUGAGUGAAGUAAAGGAAAGCGGCGGACGGGUGAGUAACGCGUGGGUAACCUGCCCCAUACAAAGGGAUAGCCACUGGAAACGGUGAUUAAUACCCUAUAACCCAUUAGUAUCGCAUGAUACAGAUGGCAAAGAUUUAUCGGUAUGGGAUGGACCCGCGUCUGAUUAGCUAGUUGGUAAGGUAACGGCUUACCAAGGCGACMAUCAGUAGCCGACCUGAGAGGGUGAUCGGCCACACUGGAACUGAGACACGGUCCAGACUCCUACGGGAGGCAGCAGUGGGGAAUAUUGCACAAUGGGCGCAAGCCUGAUGCAGCAACGCCGUGUGAGUGAAGAAGGCCUUCGGGUUGUAAAACUCUGUCCUAAGGGAAGAAACAAAUGACGGUACCUAAGGAGGAAGCCCCGGCUAACUACGUGCCAGCAGCCGCGGUAAUACGUAGGGGGCAAGCGUUAUCCG
This 520-nucleotide ribosomal RNA is filed under the name Fusibacter paucivorans. RNAcentral describes it as "bacterial SSU rRNA". It matches the Rfam family "Bacterial small subunit ribosomal RNA", at positions 29 to 547 of the family's 1533-position model. Lineage: Bacteria; Bacillati; Bacillota; Clostridia; Eubacteriales; Fusibacteraceae. The record is from RNAcentral.